Molecule: ribosomal RNA, 354 nt
Filed under: uncultured bacterium
Lineage: Bacteria
Description: partial 16S ribosomal RNA
Rfam family: Bacterial small subunit ribosomal RNA
Source: RNAcentral
CCUACGGGAGGCAGCAGUGGGGAAUAUUGCACAAUGGGGGAAACCCUGAUGCAGCGACGCCGCGUGAGUGAAGACGUAAUUCGGUAUUUAAAGCUCUAUCAGCAGGGAAGAAAAUGACGGUACCUGAGUAAGAAGCGCCGGCAAACUACGUGCCAGCAGCCGCGGUAAUACGUAGGGGGCAAGCGUUAUCCGGAUUUACUGGGUGUAAAGGGAGCGUAGACGGCAGUGCAAGUCUGGAGUGAAAGGCGGGGCACAACCCCCGGACUGCACUGGAAACUGGAUGGCUGGAGUGCAGGAGAGGUAAGUGGAAUUCGUGGUGUAGCGGUGAAAUGCGUAGAUAUUAGGAAGAACACC